UUGAAAUAGCAUGACGAGUUGUCGCUGGCCUUUUUGACCGUGCACGCUCUGUCGUUCUUCAUUUCUCCAUCUAUUUGUGCACCUCUUGCGUAGACCUUUUCUGAGGGCUUCCUCGGGUCGUUAGGACUGCUUUGCAAAAAUUGAAUUUGUGGGCUUUCCUUGUCGCUACCACACAUACACCAGUGUAAUCGUUUAGAAGGAAAUGGAAUUUGAUGCAUAAUA
This 222-nucleotide unclassified non-coding RNA is filed under the name uncultured Inocybaceae. RNAcentral describes it as "sequence contains ITS1". Lineage: Eukaryota; Fungi; Basidiomycota; Agaricomycetes; Agaricales. The record is from RNAcentral.